CUUCUCUGACAAUGAGUUUUAAGAAAAUCAACAGACAAAAAAAGUAUUUGGAAAACGUUUUAGUUGAUGAUUUUAAUUCACCCAGAAAAGCCUUAGAAACUGAAUAAUGUCUAAUUCAUUUCAUUCAGUUUUAAAACUGAAAUAUAUGAAGUACCACAUACAAGGAAUUCGUAAGUCGAGUCAAUGUAUUGACAAUUUUUCAGACGUUGAAUUUCUUGAAGAUAAUUCUGGCGGCUCUGAUGUAGCAAUACAAUAUUGGAGUGAAUUGUGAAACUUAAAGAGAAUAUUGCAAUACAAUGCAAGAGUCUAAUUUCAAUAACACCUAAACAUAUUUUAAUUGCAAAGAAACACAUAACUAGUUUGGACUUCAGUAUCUUCUCUGAAAGGAAAGUAAAACUAGUUGGAUGACAGAGUUUACACACAUUUUUGGAUUGAAAGCCACUAUCCUGCAGUUAUCACACAUAUAAUUUGUGAAGUCGAGACUAUUGUACAAGAUUUUUUGCCAAACAAUUCACCUGUCAGAAUGUUUGGCAUGAGCUGUGAUAUAUAUAUAUAUUGAUGAUGUUGCUGAUAGGCUGUUAAAAGAUGCGGAGUAUCCUACAUACAUACAUACACAGUUUACUGGUCGUCAAAUCCGUUCCCAUUCAUGGAACCUACUUCACAACUAGGAAAGAUAAACUUCUUGACUGAAGUUGCACUCUGAAUCAUGUUUGUGAAUAAAAU
Molecule: long non-coding RNA, 723 nt
Organism: Metopolophium dirhodum (rose-grain aphid)
Lineage: Eukaryota; Metazoa; Arthropoda; Insecta; Hemiptera; Aphididae
Exons: 5
Source: RefSeq, a predicted model, not a curated record